This 443-nucleotide ribosomal RNA is filed under the name uncultured Alphaproteobacteria bacterium. RNAcentral's name for it is "bacterial SSU rRNA". It matches the Rfam family "Bacterial small subunit ribosomal RNA", at positions 333 to 795 of the family's 1533-position model. Lineage: Bacteria; Pseudomonadati; Pseudomonadota; Alphaproteobacteria. The record is from RNAcentral.
UGACCUACGGGGGGCAGCAGUGGGGAAUAUUGGGCAAUGGAGGAAACUCUGACCCAGCCAUGCCGCGUGAGUGAUGAAGGCUCUAGGGUUGUAAAGCUCUUUCGCCGAUGAAGAUAAUGACGGUAGUCGGAGAAGAAGCCCCGGCUAACUUCGUGCCAGCAGCCGCGGUAAUACGAAGGGGGCUAGCGUUGUUCGGAAUUACUGGGCGUAAAGCGCGCGUAGGCUGUGCCGCAAGUCAGAGGUGAAAUCCCGGAGCUUAACUCCGGAACUGCCUUUGAAACUGCGGUGCUGGAAUCUCAGAGGGGGUAGCGGAAUUCCAAAUGUAGGGGUGAAAUCCGUAGAUAUUUGGAGGAACACCGGUGGCGAAGGCGGCUACCUGGCUGAGUAUUGACGCUGAGGCGCGAAAGCGUGGGGAUCAAACAGGAUUAGAUACCCUGGUAGUC